CUCCUCUUCUUCUCCCCGUCGGCUGAAUGCGCACGCGCGGCAAGAGCUGCGCGCGCAUUCAGCCGGUCACAUAGGAAAGCAUUCAUAAUGCUUUCCUAUGGACGCUGGCGUGCUCUCACUGUGAAAAUCACAGUGAGAAGCACGAAAGCGCCUCUAGCGGCUGUCAAUGGGACAGCCACUAGAGGAAAUAGGGGAAGGCUUAACCCAUUCAUAAACACAGCAG
This 223-nucleotide long non-coding RNA is filed under the name Pelobates cultripes (western spadefoot toad). The record is from RNAcentral. Lineage: Eukaryota; Metazoa; Chordata; Amphibia; Anura; Pelobatidae.